Molecule: unclassified non-coding RNA, 20 nt
Filed under: Dictyostelium discoideum
Lineage: Eukaryota; Evosea; Eumycetozoa; Dictyosteliales; Dictyosteliaceae
Source: RNAcentral
UGGUGGAAGACACUUUGGCU